CCUACGGGGGGCAGCAGUGGGGAAUAUUGCACAAUGGGGGAAACCCUGAUGCAGCGACGCCGCGUGAGUGAAGAAGUAUUUCGGUAUGUAAAGCUCUAUCAGCAGGGAAGAAGAAAGACGGUACCUGACUAAGAAGCCCCGGCUAACUACGUGACCGCAGCCGCGGUAAUACGUAGGGGGCAAGCGUUAUCCGGAUUUACUGGGUGUAACGGGAGCGUAGACGGCUGGGCAAGUCUGAAGUGAAAGGCCAGGGCUCAACCCUGGGACUGCUUUGGAAACUGUGGAGCUAGAGUGCUGGAGAGGUAAGUGGAAUUCCUAGUGUAGCGGUGAAAUGCUUAGAUAUGAGGAGGAACACCAGUGGCGAAGGCGGCUUACUGGACCGUAACUGACGUUGAGGCUCGAAAGCGUGGGGAGCAAACAGGAUUAGAUACCCUAGUAGUC
Molecule: ribosomal RNA, 441 nt
Filed under: uncultured bacterium
Lineage: Bacteria
Description: partial 16S ribosomal RNA
Rfam family: Bacterial small subunit ribosomal RNA
Source: RNAcentral